AAGACUAUACUUUCAGGGAUCAUUUCUAUAGUUUGUUACUAGAGAAACUCCACUGAUUGUGUAGAGCACCAGAAGCCACGAGGAAGAGAUACAGCAUCCUCUCCUGAGCGUGAAGCUGGUAUUUGGUGUUGCCUCAGGGCAUCUGCCUCUUACCAUUGAUGAUCGUUCUUCUUCCCCUUUGGGGGAAGUGAGAGGGAGAGGCUGCAGUCUGAGUGGU
Small nucleolar RNA from Perognathus longimembris pacificus (Pacific pocket mouse), 217 nucleotides. RefSeq annotates it as small nucleolar RNA U3. The record is from RefSeq and is a predicted model, not a curated record. Lineage: Eukaryota; Metazoa; Chordata; Mammalia; Rodentia; Heteromyidae. The transcript has a single exon.